RNAcentral lists this ribosomal RNA (253 nucleotides) under uncultured bacterium. RNAcentral describes it as "partial 16S ribosomal RNA". It matches the Rfam family "Bacterial small subunit ribosomal RNA", at positions 524 to 776 of the family's 1533-position model. The record is from RNAcentral.
UACAGAGGUCUCAAGCGUUGUUCGGAUUCAUUGGGCGUAAAGGGUGCGUAGGCGGCGCGGUAAGUCGGGUGUGAAAUCUUGGAGCUUAACUCCGAAACUGCAUUCGAUACUGCCGUGCUUGAGGACUGGAGAGGAGACUGGAAUUUACGGUGUAGCGGUGAAAUGCGUAGAUAUCGUAAGGAAGGCCAGUGGCGAAGGCGGCAUCCUGGACCAAUUCUGACGCUGAGGAGCGAAAGCCAGGGGAGCAAACGGG